RNAcentral lists this transfer RNA (94 nucleotides) under Paraburkholderia hiiakae. Its description in RNAcentral is "tRNA-Thr". The record is from RNAcentral. Lineage: Bacteria; Pseudomonadati; Pseudomonadota; Betaproteobacteria; Burkholderiales; Burkholderiaceae.
UGGCGUGUGGCGCAGCGGUCAUCGGCGCGAAUGCUAGUAGUCUGCCGGAGGUGAUUGGGCUUGACGAAGCGAUGUUCGAUCCGUUGGACGUCGA